Notolabrus celidotus (New Zealand spotty) is the source of this 1082-nucleotide long non-coding RNA. RefSeq lists it as uncharacterized. NCBI's taxonomy places the organism in Eukaryota, Metazoa, Chordata, Actinopteri, Labriformes, Labridae. The record is from RefSeq and is a predicted model, not a curated record. The transcript has 5 exons.
GAAUUUAAACACACCUACAGAAAAAGUGAAAACCAAACGUCUGUUUCCAACGUCUUUUCUAAACUAUGGGGACGUUCUACUGCGCAUGUCUGAUAGACAAAGCAACCUGUAUGGCAUUAACCUGUGACAUUUAGGCUAUGACUGUGUGGGAGACCUGACUCAAGUUCUGACGACCUGAUCUCAACAUCCUGCUGUGGAAGUUAUCCAAGGGUCACUCCUCGACACCCAGAAGCUGUUGGAUGAGAGGCUAUGACUGUGUGGGAGACCUGACUCAAGUUCUGACGACCUGAUCUGAACAUCCUGCUGUGGAAGUUAUCCAAGGGUCACUCCUCGACACCCAGAAGCUGUUGGAUGAGAACAAUGAAGCACACCACGCCAUUUCCCACCAUGCACACCAGGAAGAUAAGCAGGUAGGACACGAUGAAGAUGGCUGCUGUGGACGGCUGAUGAAGAUCCACUCUCCCCUCCUCUGCUGCCGAAACACUCAUCCACACCUUCAUGACCUCCAGACUGGACUACUGCAACCGCAUCCGCUACAGCCUUCCUUCAACUGACCUCCAAAAACUGCAAUAUAUCCAGAACUCAGCUGCCCGGGUACUCACACUCCAGCUACAGAGCUCACAUCACACCCAUCAUUCAGAACCUUCACUGGCUAUCCAUGCAGCACCGAAUCCACCUCAAGAUCCUGCUCAUCACCUACAAAACCCUCAAUAACCUUGCGUGCCCCACCACCUAUUUUUAUUUAAACCUUAAUUUAAUUUUUAUUCUAUAUGUUUUAAUAGGAUCCUCUAAUCUCUAACCAUUUUUCAAGAAGUUGUCUACUUGAGCCUUAUAUGCAAACCUCAAAAACGUCCACCCCUCCUCUCCCUAUUGAUGGUUUGCAUAUAAGGCGCUGCAUGUGAUGGUUUCUGACAGACCCACAGACACCAGGCGACAGGUAGAUCUGUGACACCGGUAGCUGAAAUGUUCAUUAGACAAAUUGUUAUGAGUUCAUUAAACUUCUGCACUGUUUAAAGAUUUGAGGCUAUAUGACGCAGCCUCAUGGCUUCUAUUUAUGUGCAGAGUGUCAAUCAGUCACCGUA